This 253-nucleotide ribosomal RNA is filed under the name uncultured bacterium. RNAcentral describes it as "partial 16S ribosomal RNA". It matches the Rfam family "Bacterial small subunit ribosomal RNA", at positions 524 to 776 of the family's 1533-position model. The record is from RNAcentral.
UACAGAGGUCCCAAGCGUUGUUCGGAUUCACUGGGCGUAAAGGGUGCGUAGGUGGUGAGGUAAGUCGGAUGUGAAAUCUCCGAGCUCAACUCGGAAAUGGCAUUGGAAACUGCCUUGCUAGAGGAUCGGAGGGGGGACUGGAAUACUUGGUGUAGCAGUGAAAUGCGUAGAUAUCAAGCGGAACACCAGUGGCGAAGGCGAGUCCCUGGACAACUCCUGACACUGAUGCACGAAAGCUAGGGGAGCAAACAGG